GCAAAUGGAACAUCGACUAAGUUCGUCACGUCCUGUGACAACGUCGAUGCCAGCACAUCCAUGUGCA
This 67-nucleotide small RNA is filed under the name Bacillus sp. CECT 9360. RNAcentral describes it as "Bacillaceae-1". It matches the Rfam family "Bacillaceae-1 RNA". Lineage: Bacteria; Bacillati; Bacillota; Bacilli; Caryophanales; Bacillaceae. The record is from RNAcentral.